AACAUUUCAGGAUGGGGAAACUCGAUCCAAACUCCUUCAAAGUUCUGUAAUAUUACUUCUGUUUCUUUUUUGUUGUUUCAGAUUUCCAGCAUCUGCAGAUUUUUUCCUGAUUUUCGGACCAUGUCCAGGUCUGGCCUGGUACAGAGAGGAAACUAAACCCACUGAGGGUUUCAUCACAGGACUUUAUCAAAGACGGCACAGAUGCCAUAUCAGAGGGGUGUUGACGAGACGGUCCUGGGAAAGUGAUGCUACUGAGCAUCACUGGUUAUGGAUACUGAAGACGUCCACAGAGUUCUUUCUGUGACUUGACUACACUUGCAUUUUCUAGCUAUUGUUCAACACGGAGACGCAGUGACUGAUCAGCUGAGGGAGAAUGCAAGGUGGGAAUCAGAAGGGGGACACUUACCCACGAGUGUCCUGAACCCAUGGAACUUCAUGGAAUGGCAACAGCUCUUCCUGUAACCACAAGAUACUGCAGAGAUACCACUCAGUAUGUCACAUCAGUCUCUCCUCCAUAGACUUUAUCUAUACUUCUUGCUAUCUCUAUAAAGGAGCCAACAUAAUCAAAGACCUACCUGACCUAGACAUUCUCUCUUCUCCCUCUCCCAUCAGGCAGAAGAUACAAAAGCCUGAAAGCACAUUACACCAGGCUCAAGAAUAACUGUUACUCACCCUUUAUAAGAGUAUUGAGUGGUUCCUUGGUUUGAUAACAUGGGCUCACCUUCCAGGGAGUCUCAAAGAACUAUAUGAAUUAUGAAAUAUUUAUUCAAAUACUCCCUUUGCUUAUUACUCACAUACCUCUUCUGAGCCAAGAUCCCUUCUCAUUCCUCCACUGAUGCUAACCUGUAGGAUUAGAGCUUACCACCACCUGCCCUGUCCCUUCCCGUCCCUAAAUGUCCCAUUUAGCCUGUCUUCCCAAAAUAUUAUUCCUGGAGGGUUUCUACUUGGUAUCCUUGCAGCUUCAUAUCUAUAUGGUUCUUAAAUCAAAUUCCAUCUGUUUGUGCCACCUUUGUUAUGGAUGACCUUAUUUUGGGAAGUGCCAACUUUUCCCUUGUGUGAGUCUAGUUGCUGGUGAACCUCUGUGCUCACCCUCCCUGUUUUGCAUUCCCCAUUUCACCAAUAGCACCUUUCCCUUUCACCUUACCUCCCUACCUAGUCUUGCUGCUUGAAACUGUCUGCCCACUCGGCCACUCAACGAUUUUACCCAGGAGGGAAUGAUGGCGAUGAGGAGCAAAUAAGAGAGAAGCCCACUCAAAACACUCAAAUUUCUCAUCUUGUGUUAUCGUUUCCCCAGCGCUAUCUCGGUUCUCAGUGGCAGAACCUGGUACUUCCCUGGGGUCAGUGAACCUCACCUCCCAGCUGGAGACUUUGAAGUCCUUGGGACCCAAUACAGAAUUCAACAAUUUCAGAUAACCAUCCUGUCCUGUUGUGACUGAACUUGUUGAUGCGAUCUGAAGAGCAAUCAGAGUUCCAGAUCAAAGCCCGAAGAUUGAUAAGAGGUCCGGAGGUCAAUUGGAGGUCUGGAUCAAAGCCCGAAGGCCAAUUGGGAGGACCAGACGUUGAGGCCUGAUGCCCUGAGCCCUGAAUCUGUAAACCACUGUGAGUCUGCUGAGGAAGUUGGGGCCCAGUCUCUGCAAAUCCAUGUCCUCUGGAGGUUGGAGGCUGAAGACAGCCCGUCCUGGGUGAUAUCCUGACUUGUACUGAAGUUGGGAAUAUUAAAUGGUCAACAUAUGCACUGUCAGGGCAGAUGGUGUUUUGUGAGAACUCUAUUGGUGAGGAGAGUUCAUGUUAGCAGGGCAUACCGAAUCAGGAGUUAGGAAAGAGGAUGACCUAUCCCAGAAAGAAACAAGACAACAACCAGCAGACCAGUUUAAAAGGUCAUUUAUAAAGAUCACGAAGAGCAAGGGUCCCAGAACAGAUCCCUGAGGCACUCCACUGGUCACUGACCUCCAUGCAGAAUAUGACCCGUCUACA
Long non-coding RNA from Hypanus sabinus (Atlantic stingray), 1974 nucleotides. RefSeq lists it as uncharacterized. NCBI's taxonomy places the organism in Eukaryota, Metazoa, Chordata, Chondrichthyes, Myliobatiformes, Dasyatidae. The record is from RefSeq and is a predicted model, not a curated record. The transcript is spliced from 3 exons.